GGGCUUUUGGAUGUUCCCAGGCUAGGGGUUGAAUUGGAGGUGCAGUUGCCAUCCUACACCACAGCCACAGCAAUGCAUCCAAGCAGCGUGCAACCUAUACCACAGUUCAUGGCAAUGCCAGAUCCUUAACCCACUGAGCGAGGCCAGGGAUCGAACCCACAUCCUCAGGGAUACUAGACGGGCUCGUUACCACUGAGCCAUCCCCUGGCUCUGCCCAUCUUUGUCCCAGCAUCCUUUACUCUGGUGCAUCCACACCACACUGGUCCCUCUGCUCCUCUAGUUCAUGCCAAACAGACUCCUGCUUCAAGAUCUCCUACUUUUACCCAGUGGCUCCCUCCAUCUGAGAUGGUCUUUCACAGAGAGCACCAUGGCCAAUUUCAUUCCACCAGGCUUCAGCGGGUUACCUGAGGUCUCCCUCCAUCACCUGUGUUGAAGCUGAAAACUCUGAGCCCUUACACGUCACCUCUCCCAUCCCUGCUUUAUUUAUCAUCUGUAGCAGUAUUUCACAUAGGACACACUGGCCUUAACAGUCUUGUAGAGUGCUUUUCUCCUCCACUAGGCAGAAUUUUUAAAACCUUAUUAUUUUUUUUAAAAUUUUUACUUAUUUAUUUAUUUUUUGCCUUUUUGCCAUUUCUUGGGGCACUCCCGUGGCACAUGGAGGUUCCCAGGCUAGGGGUCGAAUCAGAGCUGUAGCCACUGGCCUACGCCAGAGCCACAACAACAUGGGAUCCGAGCCACGUCUGCAACCUACACCACAGCUCAUGGUAACGCCAGAUCCUCAACCCACUGAGCAAGGCCAGGGAUUGAACCUGCAACCGCACGGUUCCUAGUCAGAUUCGUUAACCACUGAGCCACGUCGGGAACUCCUAAAACUUUAUUUUUAUUAGAGUUUAGUUGAUGUAGAGUGUUGUGUCCAUUUCUGCUAUACAGCAAAGUGACCCAGUCAUACACACACACACACACACACACACACACACAUACACACACACAUACAUAUAUAUACAUAUACACACACAUAUACACAUAUAUACCUAUAUACACACACAUAUAUAUAUAUACACAACCUUUUUCUCACACUAUCUUCCAUCUUCCAUACAUCUCCUAUAUGUUCUUCUUUCUCAUGCUAUCUUCAUGUUCUACCUUAAGACACUGUAUAUAGUUCCCUGUGCUGUACAGUAGAAAUUCAUUGCUUAUCCAUUCUAAAUGGAAUUGUUUGUAACUACCAAACCCAAACUCCUGGUGCAUCCCACAGCCUCCCCCUGCACCUCAACCACAAGUCUGUUCUCCAUGGUUUCUGGCUGCAGCUUAGAGAUGGGAUUAAGAUGGCAGAAUAAAAGGACUGGAGCUCAACUUCUCUCCUAAAAACAACAAAAUUCACAACUAAAGACUGAGCAAUCUCCACCCAAAUGGACCGGAAACCCAUACCCUACUCCAGAAGAAAAAGAGGAGGCCACAUCCACAGGUAGGAGGGGUGAUUUCGUGAUAUAAGCAACCCCAUACCUCCCGGGUGGAAAGCUCCACAGACUGAAAACUAACUGGUUCACAGAGACUCACCUACAGGAGUGAGAGUUCUGAGCCCCACAUCAAACCCUCACAUGCAGGGAUCUGGCACUGGGAGAAAGAGCCCCUGGAGCAUCUGGCAUUGAAGGCCAGUGGGGCUUGUGCGCAGGAGCUCCAUGGGACUGGGGGAAAUGGAGACCCCAUUCUUAAAAAGCGCACACAGAUGUUCACGUGCACUGAGUCCCAGGGCAAAGCAAAGUCUCCAUGGGAAUCUGGGUAAAACCUGACUGUAGUUCUUGGAGGACAUCCUGGAAAAACAGGGGUGAACGUGGCUUGUUGUGAGGGAAGGACACUGAAAGCAAAGCUCUCGGGAAUAUCCAGCAGCAGUGCCUUUCUCUGGAGGUGGCCAUUUUGGGAAAAUCUGGCCCCACUCAUCAGUCAGUGCUGAGAAACCCCAGGGCAAACAACAAUCCAGGUGGGAUCACAGCCCCACCCCUCAGUAAACAGGCUACCUAAAGAGCCUCAGGCACACAGCUGCCUCUAAUCCCAUCCAGAGACUAAGCCCCACCCACCAGAGGGAUUAGAAUCGGCUCCUCCUACCAGGGGGCAGGCAUCAGCCCCUCCCAUCAGGAAACCUACAACAAGCCCCCAUACUGACUUCAGCACAAGGGGGGCAGACACCAGAAGUAAGAGAGGCUACAGCUCUAUUAUCUAUAAAAAGGUCAUCACACCAAAAACCUAUAAAAAUGAAAAGACAGAGAACUAUAACUCAGAUGAGGGAGAAAGGAAAAACCCCCAGAAAAUCAACUAAGCAAUGAGGAGAUUCUCAGCCUCCAGGAAAAAGACUUUAGACUGUCAAUGCUGAAGUUCAUGCAAGACAUUGGAAAUAAACCGGAGGCAAAAAUGGAUAACUUACAGGAAACACUGAUCAAAGAGAUACAAGAUGUAAAAAUUAAACAAGAAGAGAUGCAAAAUACAAUAACGGAAAUAAAAAAUGCACUAGAAGCAGCUAACAGCAGAAUACAGGAGGCAGAAGAAUGAAUAAGCAAGGUGGAGGACAGAUUAGAAGAAAUUACAGAUGCAGAACAGAAAAGAGAAAAAAGAUUGAAAAC
Molecule: long non-coding RNA, 2612 nt
Filed under: Sus scrofa (pig)
Lineage: Eukaryota; Metazoa; Chordata; Mammalia; Artiodactyla; Suidae
Description: lncRNA (ENSSSCG00050069826.1)
Source: RNAcentral